RNAcentral lists this ribosomal RNA (1915 nucleotides) under Marinilabilia salmonicolor. RNAcentral describes it as "bacterial SSU rRNA". The stretch from base 392 to 1913 matches the Rfam family "Bacterial small subunit ribosomal RNA". Lineage: Bacteria; Pseudomonadati; Bacteroidota; Bacteroidia; Marinilabiliales; Marinilabiliaceae. The record is from RNAcentral.
AUUUGGAAAAGCGGGAAACAAUGCGUUAUCUUUGCACCCGCUUUGCAAGAGAGACCAAGGGGUCCGAGCGAAAAAGCAGAGCAAUCUUUUUGGAGUAAGAGCUGACGAGAUCAGCACUUGAAAAAAAGAUGAAAAAUAAUUUUGGCGAAGAAAAAUAUUUGAUUUAUCUUUGCACUCGCUUUUGAAAAAAAGCAGGCAUCCCGAAGGGGGCCAUCGGCCGGUACAGUAGGUUCAUGAACGUACUAUACGGCAAAAAAAGAUCUUUGAAAUUAUUAAUGCAAAACCAAAAACAAGGUAAAAGCGGAUCCACAAGUCAAUUUCAAUAAUUUGGAGUCGGGAUUUUUUGUUUGAGGAUAUGUUCUUAAAAGAAAUUUUAUUUUAAAACUUUCCUACAACGAAGAGUUUGAUCCUGGCUCAGGAUGAACGCUAGCGACAGGCCUAACACAUGCAAGUCGAGGGGUAACAUGAGAGCUUGCUCUUGAUGACGACCGGCGCACGGGUGAGUAACGCGUAUGCAACCUUCCUUUAACAGGAGAAUAGCCCCCGGAAACGGGGAUUAAUGCUCUAUAGUAAUUAUUUGCCACCUGACAGAUAAUUUAAAGUUCCGACGGUUAAAGAUGGGCAUGCGUGACAUUAGCCAGUUGGCGGGGUAACGGCCCACCAAAGCAACGAUGUCUAGGGGUUCUGAGAGGAAGGUCCCCCACACUGGUACUGAGACACGGACCAGACUCCUACGGGAGGCAGCAGUGAGGAAUAUUGGUCAAUGGACGCAAGUCUGAACCAGCCAUGUCGCGUGCAGGAUGACUGCCCUAUGGGUUGUAAACUGCUUUUGUACGGGAAGAAAUAUACUUACGUGUAAGUAUUUGCCGGUACCGUACGAAUAAGCAUCGGCUAACUCCGUGCCAGCAGCCGCGGUAAUACGGAGGAUGCGAGCGUUAUCCGGAUUUAUUGGGUUUAAAGGGUGCGUAGGCGGAAUGGUAAGUCAGUGGUGAAAUCCUGCAGCUCAACUGUAGUUGUGCCAUUGAUACUGUCAUUCUUGAGUACAGAUGAGGUAGGCGGAAUGAGUAGUGUAGCGGUGAAAUGCAUAGAUAUUACUCAGAACACCAAUUGCGAAGGCAGCUUACUAAACUGACACUGACGCUGAAGCACGAAAGCGUGGGUAUCAAACAGGAUUAGAUACCCUGGUAGUCCACGCCGUAAACGAUGAUUACUGGUUGUUUGCGAUACACAGCAAGCGACUGAGCGAAAGCAUUAAGUAAUCCACCUGGGGAGUACGUCGGCAACGAUGAAACUCAAAGGAAUUGACGGGGGCCCGCACAAGCGGUGGAACAUGUGGUUUAAUUCGAUGAUACGCGAGGAACCUUACCUGGGUUUAAAUGGGAAGUGACAGGGGUAGAAAUACCUUUUUCUUCGGACACUUUUCAAGGUGCUGCAUGGUUGUCGUCAGCUCGUGCCGUGAGGUGUCGGGUUAAGUCCCAUAACGAGCGCAACCCCUGUUGUUAGUUACCAGCACAUCAUGGUGGGGACUCUAACAAGACUGCCGGUGUAAACCGCGAGGAAGGUGGGGAUGACGUCAAAUCAGCACGGCCCUUACAUCCAGGGCUACACACGUGUUACAAUGGCAGGUACAAAGGGCAGCUACACAGCGAUGUGAUGCUAAUCUCGAAAACCUGUCCCAGUUCGGAUUGAAGUCUGCAACCCGACUUCAUGAAGCUGGAAUCGCUAGUAAUCGCGCAUCAGCCAUGGCGCGGUGAAUACGUUCCCGGGCCUUGUACACACCGCCCGUCAAGCCAUGGAAGCCGGGAGUACCUGAAGUAUGUAACCGCAAGGAGCGUCCUAGGGUAAAACUGGUGACUGGGGCUAAGUCGUAACAAGGUAGCCGUACCGGAAGGUGUGGCUGGAACACCUCCUUUCU